RNAcentral lists this unclassified non-coding RNA (210 nucleotides) under fungal sp. RNAcentral's name for it is "partial internal transcribed spacer region". The stretch from base 1 to 46 matches the Rfam family "Eukaryotic small subunit ribosomal RNA", at positions 1786 to 1831 of the family's 1831-position model. Lineage: Eukaryota; Fungi. The record is from RNAcentral.
AAGUCGUAACAAGGUUUCCGUAGGUGAACCUGCGGAAGGAUCAUUAACAAAAAGUAAAGGGGGUAAUAUAUAUAUGUACUGUGUUGUGGUAAAACACACACACACACAUAUAUAUAUUACUCUUUUUGACACAUUGUGCACAUUUAUGACUAUUGUAUAAUUUUUAUUUUAUAAUUGAAACAACUUUUAACAAUGGAUCUCUUGGCUCUU